RNAcentral lists this unclassified non-coding RNA (417 nucleotides) under soil metagenome. RNAcentral describes it as "partial contains 5.8S ribosomal RNA, internal transcribed spacer 2, and large subunit ribosomal RNA". The stretch from base 1 to 120 matches the Rfam family "5.8S ribosomal RNA", at positions 35 to 154 of the family's 154-position model. The record is from RNAcentral.
GAUGAAGAACGCAGCGAAAUGCGAUACGUAAUGUGAAUUGCAGAAUUCAGUGAAUCAUCGAAUCUUUGAACGCACAUUGCACUCUCUGGUAUUCCGGAGAGUAUGCUUGUUUGAGUAUCAGUAAACACCUCAAAUCUCUUGUUUCUUGUGAAUAAGAGAAUUGGACUUGAGCAAUCCCAACUCUUGCAAAAGAGGCGGGUUGCUUGAAAUGCAGGUGCAGCUGGACAUUCUUCUGAGCUAAAAGCAUAUUUAUUUAGUCCCGUAAAACGGAUUAUUACUUUUGCUGCAGCUAACAUAAAGGUUGAAUGGCCAAUAUGGCUGACUGAUGCAGGAUUAACAGAGAAUUUAUUCUUUGUAAACUCGAUCUCAAAUCAAGUAAGACUACCCGCUGAACUUAAGCAUAUCAAUAGCGGAGGA